This 459-nucleotide ribosomal RNA is filed under the name uncultured bacterium. Its description in RNAcentral is "partial 16S ribosomal RNA". It matches the Rfam family "Bacterial small subunit ribosomal RNA", at positions 355 to 802 of the family's 1533-position model. The record is from RNAcentral.
UGGGGAAUUUUGGACAAUGGGCGCAAGCCUGAUCCAGCCAUGCCGCGUGCGGGAAGAAGGCCUUCGGGUUGUAAACCGCUUUGUCAGGGAAGAAAUCUUCUGAGUUAAUACCUCGGGAGGAUGACGGUACCUGAAGAAUAAGCACCGGCUAACUACGUGCCAGCAGCCGCGGUAAUACGUAGGGUGCAAGCGUUAAUCGGAAUUACUGGGCGUAAAGCGUGCGCAGGCGGUUUUGUAAGACAGAGGUGAAAUCCCCGGGCUCAACCUGGGAACUGCCUUUGUGACUGCAAGGCUUGAGUGCGGCAGAGGGGGAUGGAACUCCGCGUGUAGCAGUGAAAUGCGUAGAUAUGCGGAGGAACCACCCGAUGGCGAAGGCCAAUCCCCCUGGGCCUGCACUGACGCUCAUGCACGAAAGCGUGGGGAGCAAACAGGAUUAGAUACCCCUGGUAGUCCACGCCC